RNAcentral lists this ribosomal RNA (463 nucleotides) under uncultured bacterium. Its description in RNAcentral is "partial 16S ribosomal RNA". It matches the Rfam family "Bacterial small subunit ribosomal RNA", at positions 28 to 507 of the family's 1533-position model. The record is from RNAcentral.
GAUGAACGCUGACAGCAUGCUUAACACAUGCAAGUCGAUGGGGAAGUGGUGCUUGCACCAUGGCAACCAUGGCGGACGGGUGAGUAACGCGUAAGGGACUUACCUGCAGGACUGGGAUAACAGGGGGAAACUCCUGACAAGACCGGAUAAUGUCAUGGAGCUGCAUGGCUUUAUGAUGAAAGGAGACGCCUGCGGAGAGCCUUGCGUCCUAUUAGCUAGUUGGUGAGGUAAUGGCUCACCAAGGCGAAGAUAGGUAGCCGGCCUGAGAGGGUGGACGGCCACAAGGGGACUGAGAUACGGCCCUGACUCCUACGGGAGGCAGCAGUGGGGAAUAUUGGACAAUGGGGGCAACCCUGAUCCAGCAAUUCUGUGUGCACGAAGAAGGUUUUCGGAUUGUAAAGUGCUUUCAGCAGGGAAGAAGUAAGUGACGGUACCUGCAGAAGAAGCGACGGCUAAAUACGUG